This 499-nucleotide ribosomal RNA is filed under the name uncultured bacterium. RNAcentral describes it as "bacterial SSU rRNA". It matches the Rfam family "Bacterial small subunit ribosomal RNA", at positions 28 to 521 of the family's 1533-position model. The record is from RNAcentral.
GAUGAACGCUGGCGGCGUGCCUAACACAUGCAAGUCGAACGAAGCACCAUGACGGAUCCUUCGGGUGGAGAUGUGGUGACUGAGUGGCGGACGGGUGGAGUAACGACGUGGGUAACCGUAGCCCUCGUACAGGGGGAGUAACAGCUGGAAACGGACGUGCUAAUACCGCAUAAGCGCACGGAAGACAUCUUCCAGUGUGAAAAACUACCGGUGGUACAGGAUGGCCCGCGUCUGAUUAGCUUGUUGGCGGGGUAACGGCCCACCAAGGCGACGAUCAGUAGCCGGUCUGAGAGGAUGAACGGCCACAUUGGAACUGAGACACGGUCCAAACUCCUACGGGAGGCAGCAGUGGGGAAUAUUGCACAAUGGGGGAAAACCCUGAUGCAGCAACGCCGCGUGAGUGAAGAAGUAUUUCGGUAUGUAAAGCUCUAUCAGCAGGGAAGAUAAUGACGGUACCUGACUAAGAAGCUCCGGCUAAAUACGUGCCAGCAGCCGCAGC